Molecule: transfer RNA, 31 nt
Filed under: Madisonia ordinata
Lineage: Eukaryota; Viridiplantae; Streptophyta; Magnoliopsida; Asparagales; Orchidaceae
Description: Anathallis ordinata partial tRNA-Thr
Source: RNAcentral
AGGCCCUUUUAUCGGGAUUUGAACCGAUGAC